RNAcentral lists this ribosomal RNA (241 nucleotides) under uncultured Chitinophagaceae bacterium. RNAcentral's name for it is "partial 16S ribosomal RNA". It matches the Rfam family "Bacterial small subunit ribosomal RNA", at positions 524 to 776 of the family's 1533-position model. The record is from RNAcentral. Lineage: Bacteria; Pseudomonadati; Bacteroidota; Chitinophagia; Chitinophagales; Chitinophagaceae.
UACGGAGGGUGCAAGCGUUAUCCGGAUUCACUGGGGUAGGCGGACUUGUAAGUCCGUGGUGAAAUCUCCGAGCUUAACUCGGAAACUGCCAUGGAUACUAUAGGUCUUGAAUGUUGUGGAGGUUAGCGGAAUAGUUCAUGUAGCGGUGAAAUGCUUAGAUAUGACCUAGAACACCGAUUGCGAAGGCAGCUGGCUACACAACGAUUGACGCUGAGGCACGAAAGCGUGGGGAUCAAACAGG